This is an RNA transcript of Alligator mississippiensis (American alligator), 4366 nucleotides long. It is a transcript of the gene named POC1 centriolar protein B, with no coding region annotated. The record is from RefSeq and is a predicted model, not a curated record. The transcript has 13 exons. NCBI's taxonomy places the organism in Eukaryota, Metazoa, Chordata, Crocodylia, Alligatoridae.
CUGUCUCUUUACGGAGGAGUCGAGCGUCGAUCUCACGGAUGGGCGCGCGGAGCUCGUCCAAUUCCACACUCGGCCCUGUUGGGGGAUGACAAGGGAGGACCUGCCCCUGCCGACGGCGCUCGGGGCUCGGCUGCUCCGGGCUGGAGCGCGGGGCGUUUGAUCAGGCCGGCGGGCAGCCUCAGCGCCCGGAGCCGCGCGGGUGGGCGGGACCGGCCUGGCCCAUGGCGUCUGUCCUGGAGGACCCCGGCUUCGAGCGGCCGCUCCGAGGGCACCGCGCCGCCGUGACCGCGCUGCACUUCAGCCCGAGCAGCGGAGCGCUGGCUUCCUCUUCUUUGGAUAAGUUUCUUAUGAUAUGGAAUUUGAAGCCACAGUCCAGAGCUUUUAGAUUUGUGGGUCAUGUGGAAGCAGUGAAUAGCGUACAGUUUUCACCAGAUGGACAACUACUGGCCUCAGCUUCUCAAGACCGUACAGUUAGACUGUGGGUUCCGUGUAUUCAUGGAGAAUCUUCAGUCCUAAAAGCCCAUACUGCAGCUGUCCGUAGUGUGAACUUCUCACAUGAUGGCCGCUUUCUAGUUACAGCAUCCAACGACAAGUCAAUAAAAAUAUGGAGUGUUCACCGUCAGCGGCUUUUGUUUUCUUUGUCCCAGCAUACGCACUGGGUUCGCUGUGCCAAAUUUUCACCAGAUGGAAGAUUAAUAGCAUCUUGCAGUGAAGAUAAAACUGUUAGAAUCUGGGAUACAACAAAUAAAGUGUGUGUCGAUAGUUUCACAGACUAUGAAGGAUUUGCCAAUUUUGUGGAUUUCAAUCCAAGUGGUACGUGUGUAGUUUCUGCGGGUGCUAAUCAUACGGUGAAACUCUGGGAUAUUCGAAUGAACAAGUUACUGCAGCAUUACAAAGUUCACAGAGCAGAAGUGAAUUGUGUAUCAUUUCAUCCUUCUGGUAACUAUAUCAUCACUGCUGCUUCUGAUGGCACCCUUAAGAUUCUGGACCUUUUGGAGGGAAGACUCAUAUAUACACUCCAUGGACACAAGGGACCUGUCCUUUCCGUGGCCUUUUCAAAAGGUGGAGAAAAAUUUGCAUCAGGCGGAGCUGAUUCUCAGGUCUUGCUGUGGAACACAAAUUUUGAUGCAUUCAAUCGCAAGGAAGUUCUUAAACACCACCUUAGAAGAACACAUACUGAUGAUCCACCCCACCUUCUUGAUAUUUAUCCAAGAUCACCUCAUCGCCACAAUGUGAAAUCUCAGUCAAUUGAGAUCAAUCCUAACUUUGAUGUGACUGAUUUACAAACGCUUGAUCCACCUGUCAUAGAUAUCGGUUCUUCCUCAUCUUUCAGUUCUCCGACAAGGACAGCUGGAUCUUCAAAUAGCAUUUCCACGUUCAAGGAUGAUGUGAACAGUGAAGAUUCCCAGUAUCCUCCAGCCUCAUUCUCUCCAACUAGCUCAAGAAGGAAGCUGGAGGAUGAGAAUGAAUCAGCUGUGUGUAGUACAGACAAGCAAACUGGCAUCUCCCCAGCUGUGGGUAAUGCUUUGGAGCAUAUAGUGGAGCAACUGGAUGUUUUGACUCUGCAAAGGUAUGGGUGCGGGGGAAUGAAACUGCAACAGUUUGGAGGAGGGGCCCUUACCCAGAUCCCACUGAAGUAAGCAGAAAGAUUCCCAUUGGGUCUGGCCUUUAUACAACAAAAUGUUCUCAGAUGCUUCUCAAGGAAAUCUCAGGAUGUCAUCCUCCCACUGUACUCGGCCUUGGUGAGGCCGCAGCUGGAGUACUGUAUCCAGUUCUGGGCUCCACAAUUCAAGAAGGAUGUGGAGAAGCUUGAGAGAGUCGAGGUGAGCCACAUGCAUGAUCAGAAGGCAAAAGAAUAGGCCUUAUGUUGAGAGGCUGAAAGCCAUGGGACUCUUCAGUCUGGAGAAGCGCAGGCUCAGGGGUGACCUGGUAGCAGCCUAUCUGUACAUAAGGGGUGUACAUCAGCAUCUGGGGGAACACCUGUUCACCAAAGCACCCCAAGGGAUGACAAGGUCCAAUGGUUACCAGCUCCUUCAACACCAUUUUAGGCUGGACAUAAGGAAAAACUUCUUUACGGUCUGAGCCCCACAAGGUCUGGAAUAGAGUCCCUCCAGAGGUGGUGCAAGUACCAACUCUGGACUCUUAAGAAAUGUUUGGAUGCUUAACUUGCUGCAAUCCUUUGACCCUAGCUGACUUCCUGCCCCUGGGGUAGGGGGCUGGACCCAAUGAUCUUCUGAGGUCCCUUCCAGUCCUAAUGUCUAAGAAAUCUAUGUAAAUAGUGGAGAGGUAAACAGUGGAAAUCUAUUAAAGACAAAAUACCCAAUUACAGGUGGAGGCACAUUCUUUACAAGAAAAACCCUCUCUCUCCAAUCUCUUAGUUCUAAUCCUCAAAGAUAAUUUACAAAACACUUUUCACAGAUGAGCCUAUGAACUUCACUUCAUCAACCUCCUGGAUACAAAAAAUCAUGGACUAAAUAUAGACAUUGGAUUUAUGACACAUAACAAUCCUAACAUCUGACUCCCCAGAUACCUCUCCACUAUUUACCUGCUACAUUCAUUCCCCUCCUCCCUGCCUCUCUCUCAGCCACUGACUCCUCAAUUUACAUCUUCACUGACUGGCUUUCUUGCAUGCAUACCAGCCUCUGGCCUCUUUACUAUUCAUUCCAUCCAGGAAGAGCACCUACCAACUGCAGAUGCUUCCUCAGCCUGAUGAAGGGUUUUUAAACCUGAAAUCUUGCUAAGAAAAUUUUUUCCAACUAUUUGAGUUGGUCUAAAAAAAGAUAUCGGAUUUACCCAAAGAACGUUGUCUGCCAGAAGAAAGUUAGGCAUUCAUGGUCUUUUGGCCCUUCCAAGGUUUGAAGGAGAUAAGCAGGAACUUUGAGGAUCUCAGUGCUGGCUACAUGUUAGCUUCAGGUGCCAUAACUGGUAGGUGCCUAAGUCUCUUUUUAGAUCUAGCUCUUAUAGAUGUGCCUAAAAUAAAUUAACCCAACUUUUCCCUCUCUUUUCUCAAAGGGACAGAAAUUGCCAGAAUAGGAAGAAAGACUUCUAUUAUAUAGUCAUCCUCAUCCUUUUGUGUUUUGUGUUGUAUUGAAACUUAUAUCAGGUUGUUGCCUUCUAAUCCCCAGAGGAAAUCCUGAUUCCUUUCAGAGAGAUAAAACAUUAGAACAAAGGGAAACUAACAGGAACUGUUGGUCUCUGUACUACAGAAUUUCACUGAAGCCUUUCCAGACCCUGAUGACGGAACCUAAAGUCUUAUAGUAUUUACUCCAACACCUGUAUUGAAUAUCAAAGUCUGUGGUAAGAUUAAUUAUUUAGAAGCAGGGCACACUUGCAGUGGGCUAUUGUUUAUUAGAACUCUCUGAACAACUGUCUCAGAGAGAAUUCUGUGAAGUUCAAAGUUGUAAAACCCUGUCAGAUAAUUUUUUCAAAGUAGGUAAAAUCCAGAAGAGCAUGUGCAAAAGGCCUGCUGCUUCCUGUUACCUUCAUCUUGCACCUCUCUGAAAAUCAAACGUUAAAGAUGCAAUACUUAGGUGGUGAAAAGGACAGAAUGCUCCAGGCAGCAUUUGUUCCUCAUGACAGCACCUGCUUAAUACUUCAGGAGCUUUUUAAUCUCUCUUUAUUAUUUUUACCCUAUGAUCUCUAUUGUGAGUGCAAAGCUCGGAGGUUGUGCUGCUUGUGUUAAAAAGCAUGAUUUGAAAGAGAAGGAAAACCAAUGAAAGAUGAAUAAAUUCUUAAUUUAGAGCCAAAUUCUGCAGUCGUUUACACUUGGAGGUAGUUCAGUUAAAAGGAGCUGCACCAAAUUAAUGGUGUUAUAGCUGAGAGCAGAAUUUAGCGCUUAAUUUUUAUUCAUUCAUAAUACCUGCUUUCAUUCACAAGAGUGUUUUGUAAUUUCAGUAAGGGAUUGUUAAUUUUUAGUUAAAUGUAGACAAGUAAAGCAUACUGGAAUAUAGUAUUUCAUCUCCAUUAACCUCACUUGAUUGUCUCAGUCCAGUAGGAAUGCCUAAUAUUUACAUUGCUACAAUAACCUACACUUGGAUAUGACCCAUGCUAUCAGAAAAGGUACUGAUAGCCACAGUAUCGGAGGAUAGCAGUGCCAGUCAUUUAAAAAGCUUGACUAAUGCUUGCUUUGCUUCAUUUAGUGAAUGCUAACAUAUUAUGAUGUGGCAGGGUUCUGAAGCGCAUGCUUAACUUUAAGCGUAGGGGGAGUCAUUGAAAUCAGUGGGAUUACCCAUGUUUAAAGUUUCCUACAUACAAUUAUAAGGUGUUUAUAUAUGUGCACAAGUCUAGAUUGUUGAUUAUAUUAUUACUAUAAACAUGAAUGAAUAUGUAUAAAUUAUUAUGUGGCAUAAAUGUUGGAAAUUUCAAA